GAAAUUUCUCCCUUCUCACACCAAGACCCCACUAAUGUUUCACUUACAUGUCCUUUCAAAAGACCUUUAUCCAAAAGUUCAUUCCAAAGACUGAAAGCUUUAUGUAGAUUUCCUUCUCGGUAAAGUGCAUCAACCAUCGAGCUGUAGACUACUUCAUCAGGCUUAAUACCCCUUGCCACCAUUUCCUCAAAUAGUGAAAACACCUUCAAUUUUUCUCCAAUUCUGUGAUA
Molecule: unclassified non-coding RNA, 230 nt
Filed under: Hevea brasiliensis (rubber tree)
Lineage: Eukaryota; Viridiplantae; Streptophyta; Magnoliopsida; Malpighiales; Euphorbiaceae
Source: RNAcentral